CUCCUGAUGCCUGUACGUUAGUUUAAAUCAGGAUUAAAAUAAUAUGAGUAUAAAUGCAUUGUGUUUCUGCUGAGUCAUCAUAGUGCUGUGAUUGGCUGCCAGAUGAUGACAUCAGCAGUUUGUCUGCACUUUGAACAGUGAUGUUGAACUUAAACCAACAUCAGUUUGUCCCUCGCAGACUGUUUGUACCGAUUCAGCUGAUAUCACCUCCUCACAGAUCGAUCAAUAUGUUUGUAUCUGAAGUUUGAUCACACAUUUCAUCAAAGAAAAAUCUUUUUACGCCUGUUUUCUUCACUGGACAUAAAAUAAACAAAAAAUACAACCACACACCUUCUGAAUUUGACUCUCUGAGAGGUCUUUGAGCUUUAAGCUGAAAAUCUCCACUUUUACUAUCUGUGUUUUGCAGAAAUGUACAUAUCUGACAUUUAUUCUGGUGACUGGGUCGGGUAAGUCAAGAGGCAAAUGGUUUUGUCAUCAUUAAACACGGCGAGCAGUUCCAACAAUCUGCCCGGAUAUAUUCAAAAUGACAAACAUUUGAGGCUUUUCCAGCAGUUUUGGCCACGACGAUUUGCUUUUCGAUCAGCAGUUUUAUAGGAGAAGCUCUACAAUGUUAAAGUAACAGGUUUUGGUGACCGUUCAGCGUGACGGUUGGCUGUGUCGUCUUUAUAAUGACGUAUUUCCACAGUCUGAUAUUUCAGACCUUGCAGCCCAAAAAGCAUUUUCCCGUCAGAGCUCCAUUAUAAAAGAGAUGCCUGUAAAACUGCAGACACUGAGCAAGAACAGCCGACAUCGCCUGUGACUCUUUCUGUUCUGUGAGUUUGAUCCAUGAAGGUUUUCUAUUUGUAAAACCUCCAAUGAGCUGAAAACAGCAUCUUAAAUCUGUGACGUCAUCACACUGUAAAGUAUACAUCAUGAACUAAAACUGAAGUGGCAACUUCACAAUAAACAUUAUCUUUAUAAAUGGUUUAUGAAGACCUUCAUUGUUUGUUAACUGUGCAGUGACAACUCACUCAAGUUUAAUUAUCUAUUACUUUACCUUUUCUUAAUGAAAGUUAGUUUUAAGUGUUACUGAUAAUUGUAGGCAGGUACCAUCACAGAAACAUGUAGGGUUACAACUAACAAUGAAUUUGAUCACAGUUUGAUCUUCUGCUUAAUUACACCGGUCAGCUGUCAGCUGGUUUCUGCUGAAUGUUCGUGUCCCGUAAUUGUGUUUUAAUUUUUAUCCUCGCGCUAAAAUAUCAAUCAAUAUGUUAUUUGUGUCUGCGGACCCCCCUUCAGUUCCCACUAAUUUGGACUAUUCCAUCGUACUGCGCAUGUGCAGAAAUGAUUCAGGAAGUCAGUAGCCAAACAAAGUUGAUGGCGCGAAAAACAAACAACAAUGAAGCGAAGUUACUGCAGCGGGACAGAAAAACGGAGGAAGCGGCAGGAAAACAGAAGGUUUGUGGCGAAACUACCGAAGGUGACGAGCUUUUUCACGGCGGCCAUUACAGAUGACAACGUUACUGAACGGCAGUAAGAAGGCGGCGCUCCUUGUGUUAGCAUGAGCGGUGCUAACGGGGAGGAGCUGCCCGCUGCUGCAGUGUCAGCCCGGGGAACAUGGCGGCGCUGCUGCCGCUUCAUGCUGGAGGAGGCUGCGGCUGAAGAGCCGAGAUCCUCCAUGAGGAGAACAACUGGAACAAAAUGGCGGUGGGCAGGAACAGCAGCGUGUGAAUAAGCAGCACCAGAACUAAUGACCCAAUGAUUCGUCGUUUUUCAUCAGAGGGGACACGGCUGGCAGACAGAGCUUUGAGAGUGCCACCCAGGAAGAAUAUCAACAGUGGGAUGGGGAGGAGGAUGUAAGUGCCUGCUAUGGUUAUGGGCACCUUCUGAUAAUUUGAGUAAAACCAAAAUAAGCGAAAGAUUAGAGCAACGACCCAGAGCACAGCACACACCACCACAGAGAUCUUCAUAGGCCGCCUGCAGCGGUACCACAGUGGACAGGUGAUGACCAAAUAUCUGUAACACAAGAUGGACACAGUGUUUGAGGAGCUUCAAAAUUUCAUAUCAAUAUAAGACGACAGAAGUACAAGCAUGCUGGAUUCAAAGAUGGGUACCUUUCCAUGGCAACACACACCAUGAAGCCAACGCUGGCCAGCAGGCCUAAAGAAUAUAAAAAAGAUCCGGCUUCAUCUAUCGUCUUAUCAUCAUGUCCUGACAGCCGAAUGAUCCUGCCACAGAACUGAAGGAGGUUGGAAACGAGAAGGUUGAUGACGUAGGUCGGAGCAACAUGAUUAACUCGAACCUGCAAGACAACAUUGGUGAAAGUCAACAAAUGGCUGUAAACAACAGGGAGGCAACAAUCUAUCUGCUGAACAUCUGUAUCUGUAUCUGCACCUGCCUUGUUGACCGCUGUCAGCAAAUCAGGAAAUGCAAUGGCCGAUGUUUAUCUGUCAGUUCACAUAAUUUAUGUUCUGGCACAUUAGUGAGAUGCUGUGUGACAUUCUUGACAUCAGUUUGUACAGGUGUGUAGGCACUAAACGGCUUUACUGUAAACUACUACAGUCAUGGUUAAAAGUUUACAUCUACUUGUAAAGAAAAUGUACAAGUGCAUCUCAAAAAUUAGAAUAACAUUCAAAAGUUUUUUUUUCGUAAUUUGAUUAAAAACACAACGUGAGAUAUUUCAAGCCUUUUUUGUUUUAAUUUUGAUGAUGUUAGCUUAUAGCUCAUGAAAGAAAUGUCGACCUUCUAAUUGAAGGAUGUUAAGUUGUGCACUCAAUACUUGUUCGGGGCUCCUUUUGUAUGAAUAAUUGCAACUAUGUGGUGCGGCAUGGCAACACAUCAUGGAUUCUCUGCCAGGUUCAGAUCAGACCAGUUCGCUGCCAAUCAGGAGUUUUGAUUUUCAUGAUCUUUAAAUUAUAAUCUUCCAAUUUAAAACAAAAAAUGGCUUGAAAUAUUUCAAUUCAUGCGUAAUGACUUUAAAAAAAAAAUAUAUAUUGGAAAAUAACCUCUCCAUGAUAAUCACUUUUUUAAAUGCAUCUGUAUAUCAUGGCAGACUUGAGUUUCAAUGGUUUCUACAACUCAUCUUUCUGUGAUGGAACGAGUGAAGCACAAACUACAAAAAACAUUCAUGAAGUUUGUUUCAGUAGUGAAUUUAUUAUAUGUCUUCUGAAAAAGUCACCAAAUCUGCAAUUAUUUUAUUUGGUCCAUUUUUUCAGAUGAAUUUUAAUAGGUUAAUAGAUUUACUAAGCCUUUAAAGCGUAUGCUUGGCUGAUAUGACCAUUUUUAUCAACAUAUCUCAGCUCCGCCUGCUCCCUCUCUCUCUCGCUCUUUUGUCAAAUCAUCACUUUAUGUCCUUACAUGUUGCUUCCUAAUCGAUUGAUAACUAUGCUUAAGACCACAUUACAGUCAUUUUUUUUAGUAAUAUUUGAGUCAUAGCCUAGCAUGUUUAUUGGUGAAGUAAAUAUUUUGUAUAUUAAUGAAAAUCUCAACAACCACAGAAACAUUUGUCGAGGUGAAGAGCCGCCGUCUCAGUAAAUCAGACACUGAACA
This is a long non-coding RNA of Acanthopagrus latus (yellowfin seabream), 3528 nucleotides long. RefSeq lists it as uncharacterized. The record is from RefSeq and is a predicted model, not a curated record. The transcript has 2 exons. NCBI's taxonomy places the organism in Eukaryota, Metazoa, Chordata, Actinopteri, Spariformes, Sparidae.